AAUAUUGCGCAAUGGAGGGAACUCUGACGCAGCGACGCCGCGUGAGCGAUGAAGGUUNNNGGAUCNUAAAGCUCUGUCCUUGGNGAANAAGGUCUUCGGACUUGACGGUACCUAAGGAGGAAGCCCCGGCUAACUACGUGCCAGCAGCCGCGGUAAUACGUAGGGGGCAAGCGUUGUCCGGAAUUAUUGGGCGUAAAGGGUGCGUAGGCGGCCUUUUAAGUCUCGUGUGAAAGGCCCCGGCUUAACCGGGGAGCUGCAUGGGAAACUGGGUGGCUUGAGUACUGGAGAGGGUUGCGGAAUUCCCAGUGUAGCGGUGAAAUGCGUAGAUAUUGGGAGGAACACCAGUGGCGAAGGCGGCAACCUGGACAGUGACUGACGCUGAGGCACGACAGCUGGGGGAGCAAAC
This 406-nucleotide ribosomal RNA is filed under the name uncultured bacterium. Its description in RNAcentral is "partial 16S ribosomal RNA". It matches the Rfam family "Bacterial small subunit ribosomal RNA", at positions 360 to 773 of the family's 1533-position model. The record is from RNAcentral.